RNAcentral lists this ribosomal RNA (543 nucleotides) under Nigrospora oryzae. RNAcentral's name for it is "eukaryotic LSU rRNA". The stretch from base 173 to 326 matches the Rfam family "5.8S ribosomal RNA". The record is from RNAcentral. Lineage: Eukaryota; Fungi; Ascomycota; Sordariomycetes; Amphisphaeriales; Apiosporaceae.
AAAGUAGGCGGGAGGAGUGGUAUCGGAGAUGUGUGCGUAGGCCAUGUGAACUUAUCUCUUUGUUGCCUCGGCGCAAGCUACCCGGGACCUCGCGCCCCGGGGGGCCCGCCGGCGGACAAACCAAACUCUGUUAUCUUCGUUGAUUAUCUGAGUGUCUUAUUUAAUAAGUCAAAACUUUCAACAACGGAUCUCUUGGUUCUGGCAUCGAUGAAGAACGCAGCGAAAUGCGAUAAGUAAUGUGAAUUGCAGAAUUCAGUGAAUCAUCGAAUCUUUGAACGCACAUUGCGCCCAUUAGUAUUCUAGUGGGCAUGCCUGUUCGAGCGUCAUUUCAACCCCUAAGCACAGCUUAUUGUUGGGACUCUACGGCUUCGUAGUUCCCCAAAGACAUUGGCGGAGUGGCAGCAGUCCUCUGAGCGUAGUAAUUCUUUAUCUCGCUUUUGUUAGGCGCUGCCCCCCCGGCCGUAAAACCCCCAAUUUUUUCUGGUUGACCUCGGAUCAGGUAGGAAUACCCGCUGAACUUAAGCAUAUCAAUAAGCGGAGGAA